RNAcentral lists this ribosomal RNA (449 nucleotides) under uncultured bacterium. RNAcentral describes it as "bacterial SSU rRNA". It matches the Rfam family "Bacterial small subunit ribosomal RNA", at positions 335 to 799 of the family's 1533-position model. The record is from RNAcentral.
ACUCCUACGGGAGGCAGCAGUGGGGAAUCUUGGACAAUGGGGGCAACCCUGAUCCAGCCAUGCCGCGUGAGUGAAGAAGGCCUUAGGGUCGUAAAGCUCUUUCGCCUGUGAAGAUAAUGACGGUAGCAGGUAAAGAAACCCCGGCUAACUCCGUGCCAGCAGCCGCGGUAAUACGGAGGGGGUUAGCGUUGUUCGGAAUUACUGGGGCGUAAAGCGCGCGUAGGCGGACCAGAAAGUUGGGGGUGAAAUCCCGGGGCUCAACCCCGGAACUGCCUCCAAAACUCCUGGUCUUGAGUUCGAGAGAGGUGAGUGGAAUUCCGAGUGUAGAGGUGAAAUUCGUAGAUAUUCGGAGGAACACCAGUGGCGAAGGCGGCUCACUGGCUCGAUACUGACGCUGAGGUGCGAAAGUGUGGGGAGCAAACAGGAUUAGAUACCCUGGUAGGACAGUG